UACGAAGGGGGCAAGCGUUAUUCGGAUUUAUUGGGCGUAAAGGGCGUGUAGGCGGCUCGGCAAGUCUGGUGUGAAAACGCUACCGCUCAACGGAGCGAAUGCGCUGGAUACUGCCGAACUUGAGUCCGAGAGAGGUGAGCAGAAUACCUGGUGUAGCGGUGGAAUGCUUAGAUAUCAGGUAGAAUACCCGAGGCGAAGGCGGCUCACUGGCUCGGUACUGACGCUGAGGCGCGAAAGCGUGGGGAUCAAACGGG
Molecule: ribosomal RNA, 254 nt
Filed under: uncultured prokaryote
Description: partial 16S ribosomal RNA
Rfam family: Bacterial small subunit ribosomal RNA
Source: RNAcentral